GCUGGGCGGCGGGGCAGGCCCGACAGGGCGUCAAAGCUGCUCACGCGGUGGAGGUGCCUAAAUCCAAAAUGUAGAUCCUCCAGGGCCAGUUAAGUGUCUAAAUCCCUUUGCAGAUGCUGGUUUCGCACGUCCCAGCAAGCAGGCCCCUGCCCCCCUGUGCAGAGAGCAGCGGAAAGCCCGGCCUUACCGGCCAUGUGGACUGCCUGAACAAGGAGUGGGUUAACAGAAGCUGGUCUGGGGAAGCACUGAAUCUCUAGCUGGCACUGACUGCUGGGCCCCCAAGUGGAAACAGCCACAGGAGGUAUUGCCUUUGUCUACAUUGUCCCUUUGCUUGAAAAGGAAGAAAGCAGAAAACAGGAUUAAAGGGGAACAGAGGAGCCUGAAGUAGUUUGUUGCUACCCUGCUUCCAUCAUGAAAGGGGAAGAAUGCAGUUCUGUACAUUUGCUUGGGGAAACAGAUUAAUAAUCUGUUCCUCCUACUCCAGUCUUACUAAAACUAGAAAGAAUUUUCAAAAAAAGACUGAUUUUAUUGAACUGUUUAUUCUGGCUUAGAAUAAAAACCUUACUUUCAUGUAGCAAAGUACACUGAAGGUAUGCCAUGCUGCUAGUUACUGGGGGUACAAAACACCCCAAUUAGUAACUCAAACAAGUGGGGGAAAAGUCUCAUCAACUCAGACCUUCACAGCAUGUAUCAUUGGUAUUAUUUACAAUUUCUCUUGUUUAAAUAAGCCUGGGACACCUCAUACAGUAUACAUGGUUAUUGCAACAGUACAGCACUUGCCUUUAUGUUCAAAAACCUCAGAAGUUGUUCAGGACCAUGAUUUGUGGUUCCCAAAAAGGCAUUGUUGUUAACAUGCAAAAAACAUUACUAAAACAAUAUUAUCUAACUUCUACGGCUGCCAAUACUGGACCUUAAUAAGGAAACCAAUUACAAAACACUUCCUUGUAGUGCUAUACAAAAAAAGAUAUAAAAUUAAGAUAAGAUUCUAUCAACCACUUUUAAAUAUUCCAAUUUUCCAACAGUGCAGUUUUCCACAUCUUUACCACCACUGAACAUUGAGGAUAAAAGUUAACAAAAAUCAGCAAAUCAGAAAAUUUUUUUAAAUCUUUGGAUCCCUUUAUUCCUGUGGCCUUCAUAUACAUAUACAAACGCAAAUUACCAGAUUCCUUUUUCAAUUAUAACUUAAACAUUCCAAAAAGUUGUAACUAGUAAUUUAGAAUUGAGAAAAAAAAUCCAUACCAAGUCAUUUGUGGGUUCACUGGUUUAACAACCAGAAUUUUUAAUGUCUCCAAGCUAGAGUCUAUCAAAAUGCAAACAACUUCAAACACUAAGAAUUCUCUUUAAAUUGAUUAUGUCUACUGGUAUUACAACAAAGUUAACACUUCAAGAAUUGACACAUGGAGGCAUAUUUUUAUCCCAAGCAUUUUAGAAGGAGCAUAACUCCUCUCAUGCCUGGUCCAUUUUUUAAAAAGUGAGUAUUACCACAAAGUAAAAUUAAUUGCAAGUUCUGACAUGUGACAAAAUGUUUUAUUUUUUGUUCUUAUUUGAAAAAUCUUCUUAAUUUGGUCAAAUCCUGUGAUAUGCCAGACAUUACAAAAUGAAGUACUUGCAAGAAAGAAGAGUAUUCAGUUUUGUGUAAUGGAAGAACCUUUUCAAAUCUUCAUUAUAAUCCAAAUAUAAAAAUCAAACAAAUUUAAAGCCUGAAAAGCUACAAAGAAAACAAACUAACUCAGUGUUCUUUAGCAUAUCAAUUUUUGCAAUAAACAUAGUAUGUUUGCGGACUUAAAAAUGUUUAUUCUUUAAAAAAUUAGUUGCUUUUUAUACAGCUAUACAAAGUUUGUAAUGUUUCUUUGGCAAUGGGAUAUAAUGGAAUUUUACAACUAUAUAAAAAGUUUCCUUUGCCUAAGAAACAAUAUUUACUGUGUGUACAUAUUUGUCUGACAAAGCAAGUUUUCUACUGUCCAGCACCCUAGUUGACAAAAGUACAACCAUCUCAAAAGGGAUAUUACAGGAUUUCCAAAAAACAACCUUCAGUGGAUCAAAAUACUCACAGUAUCGACGGCCUUCUGCAUACAAUUGUCCUUGUAACUUGCGGCAAUUAUUAAAUACAGUUUAGUAAUAAGAAAAAUCCUUUCAGUGAUGAAAAAAUACUUAAAUUCCAUCGAAGUACUGCUUUAUAGCUAACUAUACAUAAGAAAUUACUUACCCUUCUAUCUCAAAUAUAUUUAAUGCUCCUUGUUUUCAAAGAUGGCCAUUUUUCAAAAAGUAACUGCAUUAACCCCCUUUGAAAUUAAAUAGUUAAAUCCCAGUGCUGGUGACAAGUAUACAGCAAAUUAACUUCAUUCUUUGCAAAGACUGAAACUAAUUCUCUCGAUCAUGAAGAUCUAGAAGUUCACCUGGUUCCAGCUUUCUUGUAGACUAUGCAGAAACUUUGUUGUCUUUCUAGAAGAGAUGUUAGAAUGUUAUAUUUUGUUCAAACAUAUUUGUAGUCAAACUAGUUUGAGAAUAUGGAAAAUGAUUAAUUGAUUUUAGAUGCCCCCCCCACACACACA
Dermochelys coriacea (leatherback sea turtle) is the source of this 2552-nucleotide long non-coding RNA. RefSeq lists it as uncharacterized. The transcript has 3 exons. Lineage: Eukaryota; Metazoa; Chordata; Testudines; Dermochelyidae. The record is from RefSeq and is a predicted model, not a curated record.